This 429-nucleotide ribosomal RNA is filed under the name Pseudomonadota bacterium. RNAcentral's name for it is "Proteobacteria bacterium partial 16S ribosomal RNA". It matches the Rfam family "Bacterial small subunit ribosomal RNA", at positions 355 to 776 of the family's 1533-position model. The record is from RNAcentral. Lineage: Bacteria; Pseudomonadati; Pseudomonadota.
UGGGGAAUAUUGGACAAUGGGCGAAAGCCUGAUCCAGCCAUGCCGCGUGUGUGAAGAAGGUCUUCGGAUUGUAAAGCACUUUAAGUUGGGAGGAAGGGCAGUAAGCGAAUACCUUGCUGUCUUGACGUUACCGACAGAAUAAGCACCGGCUAACUCUGUGCCAGCAGCCGCGGUAAUACAGAGGGUGCAAGCGUUAAUCGGAAUUACUGGGCGUAAAGCGCGCGUAGGUGGUUCGUUAAGUUGAAUGUGAAAGCCCCGGGCUCGACCUGGGAACUGCAUCCAAAACUGGCGAGCUAGAGUAGGGCAGAGGGUGGUGGAAUUUCCUGUGUAGCGGUGAGUUGCGUAGAUAUAGGAAGGAACACCAGUGGCGAAGGCGACCACCUGGGCUCAUACUGACACUGAGGUGCGAAAGCGUGGGGAGCAAACAGG